AGGUCUGUAUGCAAACCGCCAAAAGCAACUACAAAUCCUAUAUAGCCUAAAAUGUCAUAUUCCGAACAUUGUAUUAAAUUUUAGGUUUUAGAGUGAAGUCAGGGUCUGUGUGCAGAGCCGGUUUGCAGAAGGAUACUGCGGGUGGGUUCAUCCACCAUUUGCAAAAUUCGAGGUGUUUGACGUGAGUGUGGGCCGAGGGUUUCGUCCUCCAUUGCUCUCCGUGUGAUUUUACUUGUUGCGAUAUGGCAGCUGCUGUUUCCUGAGAAAGUUGGCCGUUUGCAGCUGUUGCAGGUGCUGUUUACAGAGUAGCACAGAUGAAAAGAGGCGUGGUAGGGUUUGCAGGUCUGCACGCUUGACAGGUACUUGAAAAGCCCAUACAAACAAAAAAAAAAGGGCACAGAGGAGUGAUUUUUUUUUACAUUUUUGAAAGCUGAGAGAAAAUUUUACGUUGAGAUUUGCCUACAUGUUGUCUAAGGCUUAAUGGAUAGAGGUGGUAGAAUUAUGUUUUUUUUAUAUUGGUAAUUGGGGGGCGGGGUUCAGAAGUGGAAUGAUUAUUUAGGCUGCAGCUAUUCUGGAAGUGGAACGAUUAUUUAGGCUGCAGCUAUUCUGGUUUCAAAACCGCAGUACGGUUAAUGCACGUUAUACACCAUUGGUUUUGGGAGACAAUGGCGAUUUUUUUAAUUGUCAAUAACAUGGUGUACGAAUUGACGGUUUUGAAGCCAGAAUAACUCUGUCCGAUUAUUUAAGCAUCAGGAUAAUUAAGGUUUUUACUUUGCA
Cryptomeria japonica (Japanese cedar) is the source of this 777-nucleotide long non-coding RNA. RefSeq lists it as uncharacterized. The transcript is spliced from 2 exons. The record is from RefSeq and is a predicted model, not a curated record. NCBI's taxonomy places the organism in Eukaryota, Viridiplantae, Streptophyta, Pinopsida, Cupressales, Cupressaceae.